AUUGAACGCUGGCGGCAGGCCUAACACAUGCAAGUCGAGCGGCAGCGGGAAGUAGCUUGCUACUUUGCCGGCGAGCGGCGGACGGGUGAGUAAUGUCUGGGAAACUGCCUGAUGGAGGGGGAUAACUACUGGAAACGGUAGCUAAUACCGCAUGACCUCGCAAGAGCAAAGUGGGGGACCUUCGGGCCUCACGCCAUCGGAUGUGCCCAGAUGGGAUUAGCUAGUAGGUGGGGUAAUGGCUCACCUAGGCGACGAUCCCUAGCUGGUCUGAGAGGAUGACCAGCCACACUGGAACUGAGACACGGUCCAGACUCCUACGGGAGGCAGCAGUGGGGAAUAUUGCACAAUGGGCGCAAGCCUGAUGCAGCCAUGCCGCGUGUGUGAAGAAGGCCUUCGGGUUGUAAAGCACUUUCAGCGAGGAGGAAGGGGUUGAGUUUAAUACGCUCAAUCAUUGACGUUACUCGCAGAAGAAGCACCGGCUAACUCCGUGCCAGCAGCCGCGGUAAUACGGAGGGUGCAAGCGUUAAUCGGAAUUACUGGGCGUAAAGCGCACGCAGGCGGUUUGUUAAGUCAGAUGUGAAAUCCCCGCGCUUAACGUGGGGAACUGCAUUUGAAACUGGCAAGCUAGAGUCUUGUAGAGGGGGGUAGAAUUCCAGGUGUAGCGGUGAAAUGCGUAGAGAUCUGGAGGAAUACCGGUGGCGAAGGCGGCCCCCCUGGACAAAGACUGACGCUCAGGUGCUAAAGCGUGGGGAGCAAACUAGAUUAG
RNAcentral lists this ribosomal RNA (766 nucleotides) under uncultured Enterobacteriaceae bacterium. RNAcentral's name for it is "bacterial SSU rRNA". It matches the Rfam family "Bacterial small subunit ribosomal RNA", at positions 28 to 781 of the family's 1533-position model. Lineage: Bacteria; Pseudomonadati; Pseudomonadota; Gammaproteobacteria; Enterobacterales; Enterobacteriaceae. The record is from RNAcentral.